AGUUAUGAUCGUCAUUAUCCUGCUGUGUGCACAUGAUCAUAAAGCUGAACAGAACCAGGAACCAUCACAGAACCAUCCUCAGCAGGUCUGAAUCUAUAACAGAGGAUCCCUUCUAUAUUACACUGCAGUAGCUUGCAGAGUGAGAGCUGACAGAAGACAGAAUCACAUUUGAGAGGUUGAAGCAACGACG
Archocentrus centrarchus (flier cichlid) is the source of this 190-nucleotide long non-coding RNA. RefSeq lists it as uncharacterized. The transcript is spliced from 3 exons. The record is from RefSeq and is a predicted model, not a curated record. NCBI's taxonomy places the organism in Eukaryota, Metazoa, Chordata, Actinopteri, Cichliformes, Cichlidae.